CGGUGGAGCACGUGGUUAAUUCGAUGCAACGCGAGAACUUACCUGGUCUUGACAUCCCGGAGACCCUUAGGAAACUAGGGGUGCUUCCAUCUGGAAGAAUCUGGAGACAGGUGCUGCAUGGCUGUCGUCAGCUCGUGUCGUGAGAUGUUGGGUUAAGUCCCGCAACGAGCGCAACCCUUGCCUUUAGUUGCCAGCAGUUCGGCUGGGCACUCUAAAGGGACUGCCGGUGUUAAACCGGAGGAAGGUGGGGAUGACGUCAAGUCCUCAUGGCCUUUAUGACCAGGGCUACACACGUACUACAAUGGCCGAUACAAAGGGCAGCGACACUGCGAGGUGAAGCCAAUCCCGUAAAAUCGGUCUCAGUCCGGAUUGGAGUCUGCAACUCGACUCCAUGAAGUUGGAAUCGCUAGUAAUCGUGGAUCAGCAUGCCACGGUGAAUACGUUCCCGGGCCUU
Molecule: ribosomal RNA, 454 nt
Filed under: uncultured Desulfobulbus sp.
Lineage: Bacteria; Pseudomonadati; Thermodesulfobacteriota; Desulfobulbia; Desulfobulbales; Desulfobulbaceae
Description: bacterial SSU rRNA
Rfam family: Bacterial small subunit ribosomal RNA
Source: RNAcentral